UAUGGAGAGUUUGAUCCUGGCUCAGAGUGAACGCUGGCGGCGUGCCUAAUACAUGCAAGUCGAACGAUGAAGCUUCUAGCUUGCUAGAGUGCUGAUUAGUGGCGCACGGGUGAGUAACGCAUAGGUCAUGUGCCUCUUAGUUUGGGAUAGCCAUUGGAAACGAUGAUUAAUACCAGAUACUCCCUACGGGGGAAAGAUUUAUCGCUAAGAGAUCAGCCUAUGUCCUAUCAGCUUGUUGGUAAGGUAAUGGCUUACCAAGGCUAUGACGGGUAUCCGGCCUGAGAGGGUGAACGGACACACUGGAACUGAGACACGGUCCAGACUCCUACGGGAGGCAGCAGUAGGGAAUAUUGCUCAAUGGGGGAAACCCUGAAGCAGCAACGCCGCGUGGAGGAUGAAGGUUUUAGGAUUGUAAACUCCUUUUGUUAGAGAAGAUAAUGACGGUAUCUAACGAAUAAGCACCGGCUAACUCCGUGCCAGCAGCCGCGGUAAUACGGAGGGUGCAAGCGUUACUCGGAAUCACUGGGCGUAAAGAGCGCGUAGGCGGGAUAGUCAGUCAGGUGUGAAAUCCUAUGGCUUAACCAUAGAACUGCAUUUGAAACUACUAUUCUAGAGUGUGGGAGAGGUAGGUGGAAUUCUUGGUGUAGGGGUAAAAUCCGUAGAGAUCAAGAGGAAUACUCAUUGCGAAGGCGACCUGCUGGAACAUUACUGACGCUGAUUGUGCGAAAGCGUGGGGAGCAAACAGGAUUAGAUACCCUGGUAGUCCACGCCCUAAACGAUGGAUGCUAGUUGUUGGAGGGCUUAGUCUCUCCAGUAAUGCAGCUAACGCAUUAAGCAUCCCGCCUGGGGAGUACGGUCGCAAGAUUAAAACUCAAAGGAAUAGACGGGGACCCGCACAAGCGGUGGAGCAUGUGGUUUAAUUCGAAGAUACACGAAGAACCUUACCUAGGCUUGACAUUGAGAGAAUCCGCUAGAAAUAGUGGAGUGUCUAGCUUGCUAGACCUUGAAAACAGGUGCUGCACGGCUGUCGUCAGCUCGUGUCGUGAGAUGUUGGGUUAAGUCCCGCAACGAGCGCAACCCCCUUUCUUAGUUGCUAACAGGUUAUGCUGAGAACUCUAAGGAUACUGCCUCCGUAAGGAGGAGGAAGGUGGGGACGACGUCAAGUCAUCAUGGCCCUUACGCCUAGGGCUACACACGUGCUACAAUGGGGUGCACAAAGAGAAGCAAUACUGCGAAGUGGAGCCAAUCUUCAAAACAUCUCUCAGUUCGGAUUGCAGGCUGCAACUCGCCUGCAUGAAGCUGGAAUCGCUAGUAAUCGCAAAUCAGCCAUGUUGCGGUGAAUACGUUCCCGGGUCUUGUACUCACCGCCCGUCACACCAUGGGAGUUGUGUUUGCCUUAAGUCAGGAUGCUAAAUUGGCUACUGCCCACGGCACACACAGCGACUGGGGUGAAGUCGUAACAAGGUAACCGUAGGUGAACCUGCGGUUGGAUCACCUCCUU
Molecule: ribosomal RNA, 1501 nt
Filed under: Helicobacter pylori
Lineage: Bacteria; Pseudomonadati; Campylobacterota; Epsilonproteobacteria; Campylobacterales; Helicobacteraceae
Description: bacterial SSU rRNA
Rfam family: Bacterial small subunit ribosomal RNA
Source: RNAcentral